UCAAGCUGUAAAGGGCGCAAGGGGAAUGCCUUGGCACUGAGAGCCGACGAAGGACGCGACAAGCUGCGAUAAGCUACGGGGAGCCGCAAAUGGGCUUUGAUCCGUGGAUUUCCGAAUGGGGAAACCCGGCAGAGCAAUACUCUGUCAACGUACACUGAAUACAUAGGUGUACGUGGGGAACCGCCUGAACUGAAACAUCUAAGUAGGGCGAGGAAGAGAAAUCAACCGAGAUUCCGCUAGUAGUGGCGAGCGAACGCGGAAGAGGCCAAACCGGAGGUAGCAAUAUUUCCGGGGUUAGGACUGCAACAUGUAACUUUAAUCUUUAACUGAAUGCUUUGGGAAGAGCAGCGAAACAGGGUGACAGCCCCGUAAGUGAAAGAGAUUGAGUGCUAGCAGUAUCCAGAGUACCAGCGGACACGUGAAACCCGCUGGGAAGAUGGGGGGACCAUCCUCCAAGCCUAAAUACUACUCAGUGACCGAUAGUGGAGCAGUACCGUGAGGGAAAGGUGAAAAGUACCCCGGGAGGGGAGUGAAAGAGAACCUGAAACCUUGUGCCUACAAGCACCGAGAGCACGUUAAAGUGUGAUCGGGUACUUUUUGUAGAACGGUCCGGCGAGUUAAUAUUUGCAGCGAGGUUAAGGAACUGGAGUUCCGGAGCCGCAGCGAGAGCGAGUCUGAAAAGGGCGUAUGAAGUUGCAGGUAUUAGACCCGAAACCGGGUGACCUAUCCAUGAGCAGGCUGAAGCGGUGGUAAGACACCGUGGAGGGCCGCACCCACGUCUGUUGAAAAAGCCGGGGAUGACUUGUGGAUAGCGGAGAAAUUCCAAUCGAACUCGGAGAUAGCUGGUUCUCCCCGAAAUAGCUUUAGGGCUAGCGUUAUUUUAGAUUACCGGAGGUAAAGCACUGAAUGGUCUAGGGGCCGCGAGGUUACCAAAGCCUAUCAAACUCUGAAUGCCGGAUAAUUGAUGAAUAGCAGUCAGACUGUGUGAGAUAAGUCUCAUAGUCAAAAGGGAAACAGCCCAGAUCUACAGCUAAGGUCCCAAAUGAACACUAAGUGGAAAAUGAUGUGAAACUGCGAAGACAACCAGGAUGUUGGCUUAGAAGCAGCCACUCAUUCAAAGAGUGCGUAAUAGCUCACUGGUCGAGUGGUUUUGCGCAGAAAAUGUAACGGGGCUAAGUGUUCAACCGAAGCUUAGGCAUUGCAGUAAUGCAUUGGGUAGGGGAGCGUCGUAUGCGGGGCGAAGUCAGAGCGGAAGCACUGGUGGACUGCAUACGAGUGAGAAUGCCGGAAUAAGUAGCGAGAAUUAUGUGAGAAUCAUAAUGGCCGAAAAUCUAAGGUUUCUUGGGGAAGGUUCGUCCGCCCAAGGUUAGUCGGGAGCUAAGCUCAGGCCGAAAGGCGUAGGCGAUGCACAUACGGUAGAAAUUCCGUAACCACCGAACUUUAAGCUAGAGGGACGCUUUCUUUAAGGUUAUCCCGGGCGAUGGUUGCCCCGGGCGUAAGGGACCGAAAUAUAGUAGGGAAGUAGAUGGCGAGAGAGACGAGAAAAGCUCUAGUGUAUACUAAGGUGCCCGUACCGCAAACCGACACAGGUAGAUGGGAUGAGUAUUCUAAGGCCAACGGGAGAAGGGUUGUUAAGGAACUCGGCAAAUUGGCCCCGUAACUUCGGGAUAAGGGGCGCCUGCGAGAGCAGGCCGCAGUGAAAAGGCCCAAGCGACUGUUUAGCAAAAACACAGCUCUCUGCUAAAUCGAAAGAUGACGUAUAGGGGGUGACGCCUGCCCGGUGCUGGAAGGUUAAGGGGAGUGCUUAGCGCAAGCGAAGGUGCGAACUUAAGCCCCAGUAAACGGCGGCCGUAACUAUAACGGUCCUAAGGUAGCGAAAUUCCUUGUCAGGUAAGUUCUGACCCGC
RNAcentral lists this ribosomal RNA (1906 nucleotides) under human gut metagenome. RNAcentral's name for it is "bacterial LSU rRNA". It matches the Rfam family "Bacterial large subunit ribosomal RNA", at positions 3 to 1991 of the family's 2925-position model. The record is from RNAcentral.